CCCUUAGAUGUCCUGGGCCGCACGCGCGUUACACUGAUGCAUUCAACGAGCUUAUAACCUUGGCCGAGAGGCCUGGGCAAUCUUGUUAACGUGCAUCGUGAUAGGGAUAGAUAAUUGAAAUUAUUAAUCUUGAACGAGGAAUUCCUAGUAAACGCAGAUCAUCAAUCUGCAUUGAUUACGUCCCUGCCCUUUGUACACACCGCCCGUCGCACCUACCGAUUGGAUGGUCCGGUGAAGCCUCGGGAUUGUGGUUCUUGCCGCUUUAUUGUGGCGUGACCGCGAGAACUUGUCUAAACCUUAUCAUCUAGAGGAAGGUGAAGUCGUAACA
This 328-nucleotide ribosomal RNA is filed under the name uncultured eukaryote. RNAcentral describes it as "partial 18S ribosomal RNA". It matches the Rfam family "Eukaryotic small subunit ribosomal RNA", at positions 1470 to 1796 of the family's 1831-position model. The record is from RNAcentral.